This 333-nucleotide RNase P RNA is filed under the name bacterium 1XD42-1. RNAcentral's name for it is "RNase P RNA component class A". It matches the Rfam family "Bacterial RNase P class A". From Rfam's summary of the family: Ribonuclease P (RNase P) is a ubiquitous endoribonuclease, found in archaea, bacteria and eukarya as well as chloroplasts and mitochondria. Its best characterised activity is the generation of mature 5'-ends of tRNAs by cleaving the 5'-leader elements of precursor-tRNAs. Cellular RNase Ps are ribonucleoproteins. RNAcentral also lists the same sequence under 2 other names. The record is from RNAcentral.
GGAGCGGACUGGACAGCGGCACAGCACAGGCUGUGAGGAAAGUCCGGGCUUCAUAGGGCAGGAUACCUGCUAACGGCAGGCCGAGGCGACUCGAGGGAAAGUGCAACAGAAAGAAACCGCCAAAAAUUUUUUUGGCAAGGAUGGAAAGGCGAGGUAAGAGCUCACCGGAGUACAGGCGACUGUACUGCCAUGUAAACCCUAUCCGAAGCAACACCAGCAGGAACAAUGCGGCGGCCCGCCGGGUUCCGAAAGGUGGCGCGAGUUGUAUGGCAACGUACAGCCAAGAAAGAUCGCUGUUCUCGACAGAACCCGGCUUACAGGUUCGGUUCCGGC